This 501-nucleotide ribosomal RNA is filed under the name uncultured bacterium. RNAcentral describes it as "bacterial SSU rRNA". It matches the Rfam family "Bacterial small subunit ribosomal RNA", at positions 10 to 507 of the family's 1533-position model. The record is from RNAcentral.
AGUUUGAUCCUGGCUCAGAUUGAACGCUGGCGGAAUGCUUUACACAUGCAAGUCGAGCGGCAGCGCGGGGGCAACCCUGGCGGCGAGCGGCGAACGGGUGAGUAAUGCAUCGGAACGUACCCAGUCGUGGGGGAUAACGUGGCGAAAGUCACGCUAAUACCGCAUACGUCCUGAGGGAGAAAGCAGGGGAUCGCAAGACCUUGCGCGAUUGGAGCGGCCGAUGUCUGAUUAGCUAGUUGGUGGGGUAAAGGCCUACCAAGGCGACGAUCAGUAGCUGGUCUGAGAGGACGAUCAGCCACACUGGGACUGAGACACGGCCCAGACUCCUACGGGAGGCAGCAGUGGGGAAUAUUGGACAAUGGGCGCAAGCCUGAUCCAGCAAUACCGCGUGUGUGAAGAAGGCCCUAGGGUUGUAAAACACUUUCAAUGGGGAGGAAAACCUGUCGGUCAAUACCCAGUAGCUUGACAUUGCCUAUAGAAGAAGCACCGGCUAACUCCGUG